This 131-nucleotide ribosomal RNA is filed under the name Thaumarchaeota archaeon 13_1_40CM_3_50_5. RNAcentral describes it as "partial 16S ribosomal RNA". It matches the Rfam family "Archaeal small subunit ribosomal RNA", at positions 1350 to 1478 of the family's 1478-position model. Lineage: Archaea; Thermoproteati; Nitrososphaerota. The record is from RNAcentral.
CCGUCGCUUCACCGAAGCUGGUUCUUGGCGAGGUGGCGCCUAAUUGGCGCUAUCGAACCUGGGGUCAGCAACGGGGGAGAAGUCGUAACAAGGUAGUCGUAGGGGAACCUGCGGCUGGAUCACCUCCUUAG